This 253-nucleotide ribosomal RNA is filed under the name uncultured bacterium. Its description in RNAcentral is "partial 16S ribosomal RNA". It matches the Rfam family "Bacterial small subunit ribosomal RNA", at positions 524 to 776 of the family's 1533-position model. The record is from RNAcentral.
UACGUAGGUGACAAGCGUUGUCCGGAUUUACUGGGCGUAAAGAGCGCGCAGGCGGUCGAUCAAGUCGAGUGUGAAAGCCCCCGGCUCAACUGAGGAGGGUCAUUCGAUACUGAUCGACUCGAAGGCAGGAGAGGGUAGUGGAAUUCCUGGUGUAGCGGUGAAAUGCGCAGAUAUCAGGAGGAACACCGGUGGCGAAGGCGGGUCUCUGGGCCGAUACUGACGCUGAGGAGCGAAAGCGUGGGGAGCGAACAGG